ACCGAAUAGAUACCCGGGUAGUCCACGCCCUAAACUAUGUCAACUAGUUGUUGGGAGAGUUAAAUCUCUUAGUAAACGCAGCUAAACGCGUGAAGUUGACCGCCUGGGGAGUACGGCCGCAAGGUUAAACUCAAAGGAAUUGACGGGGACCCGCACAAGCGGUGGAUUAUGUGGAUUAAUUCGAUGCAACGCGAAAAACCUUACCUACCCUUGACAUGUACGGAACGGGGCAGAGACGUCCCGGUGCCCGAAAGGGAACCGUAACACAGGUGCUGCAUGGCUGUCGUCAGCUCGUGUCGUGAGAUGUUGGGUUAAGUCCCGCAACGAGCGCAACCCUUACCAUUAGUUGCUACAUUCAGUUGGGCACUCUAAUGGGACUGCCGGUGACAAACCGGAGGAAGGUGGGGAUGACGUCAAGUCCUCAUGGCCCUUAUGGGUAGGGCUUCACACGUAAUACAAUGGCCGGUACAGAGGGUUGCCAACCCGGCGAGGGGAGCCAAUCCCAGAAAGCCGGUCGUAGUCCGGAUUGUUCUCUGCAACUCGAGAGCAUGAAGUCGGAAUCGCUAGUAA
This 570-nucleotide ribosomal RNA is filed under the name uncultured bacterium. Its description in RNAcentral is "bacterial SSU rRNA". It matches the Rfam family "Bacterial small subunit ribosomal RNA", at positions 772 to 1341 of the family's 1533-position model. The record is from RNAcentral.